UUGCCUUGUUCUGCUCGCCUUGUACACUCCGCCCAAAGUGGGGGAUAACUAGUCGAAAGAUUAGCUAAUACCGCAUACGACCUGAGGGUGAAAGUGGGGGACCGCAAGGCCUCAUGCUAUAGGAGCGGCCGAUGUCUGAUUAGCUAGUUGGUGGGGUAAAGGCCUACCAAGGCGACGAUCAGUAGCUGGUCUGAGAGGACGAUCAGCCACACUGGGACUGAGACACGGCCCAGACUCCUACGGGAGGCAGCAGUGGGGAAUUUUGGACAAUGGGCGAAAGCCUGAUCCAGCAAUGCCGCGUGUGUGAAGAAGGCCUUCGGGUUGUAAAGCACUUUUGUCCGGAAAGAAAUGGCUCUGGUUAAUACCUGGGGUCGAUGACGGUACCGGAAGAAUAAGGACCGGCUAACUACGUGCCAGCAGCCGCGGUAAUACGUAGGGUCCAAGCGUUAAUCGGAAUUACUGGGCGUAAAGCGUGCGCAGGCGGUUGUGCAAGACCGAUGUGAAAUCCCCGAGCUUAACUUGGGAAUUGCAUUGGUGACUGCACGGCUAGAGUGUGUCAGAGGGGGGGUAGAAUUCCACGUGUAGCAGUGAAUGCGUAGAGAUGUGGAGGAAUACCGAUGGCG
RNAcentral lists this ribosomal RNA (623 nucleotides) under Ralstonia sp. RNAcentral's name for it is "bacterial SSU rRNA". It matches the Rfam family "Bacterial small subunit ribosomal RNA", at positions 99 to 717 of the family's 1533-position model. Lineage: Bacteria; Pseudomonadati; Pseudomonadota; Betaproteobacteria; Burkholderiales; Burkholderiaceae. The record is from RNAcentral.